Molecule: ribosomal RNA, 1329 nt
Filed under: Triticum aestivum (bread wheat)
Lineage: Eukaryota; Viridiplantae; Streptophyta; Magnoliopsida; Poales; Poaceae
Description: partial small subunit ribosomal RNA
Source: RNAcentral
AUGCCAGUUCAACCUCUCAAAUAUGCUCAUAGAAAUAGGAUGUGUGUGCAUGCGUCCAUAUGGUCCAGGCCGUUGCUGGUCCAACCGUCGACGGAGCAGUCGACGCCGGCGACGGCCGACCACAUCAAAGUCUCCUCCUUCGACAAGCCUCUCGCCUUCUCCUCCUCCUCAUCGUUCCACGUCUUCGACCGCGCCAUCCACGAGCCCGCCGAGACCAUCAAGAGGGCGCUGUCCCGCGCUCUGGACCACUUCCGCCUCAUUGCCGGCCGCGUCGUCGUGGGAAACGACGACGGCGAUCUCUGCAUCGCAUGCACCGGCGAGGGCGUCCAGUUCGUGGCCGCCACGGCCAACUGCGCCUUAGUGGACGUCAAGCUCUUCGACCCGCCGUUCGCGGGGCUGCUUAAAGACCUCGCCGUCGAAUACCCGGAGGCCGGCUGCCGCGUGACCGACCCCUUGCUGCUCAUGCAGGUGACCGAGUUUUCCUGCGGCGCGUUCGUCCUUGGGGUCACCUGGAACCACGUCGUCGCCGACGGCACGGGGAUCGCACUGCUCCUGCGGGCAGUGGGCGAGCUCGCGCGCGGGCUGGCUCGGCCGUCCGUCUCCCCGGUCACCUGCGCCGACCAGCUCCUGCCGGACCUCCCGCCGUUGGCCGCCGCUAUAGAGCGCACCAUGGUUGGCCAGCUGAAGCCCAAGGAUUACGCCUACCUCGACAUCACCGUGCCGAUGAGCACCAUCCACCGCAUCAAAGCCGAGCUCGGCGACGAGCUAGGCGCGCCGUGCACCGUAUUCGAGGCGGUCACGGCGGUCAUGUGGCAGUGCCGCUCCCGCGUUAUCAUGCCGGACGACGACCCGGACAACCCGGCGCCGCUCGUGUUCGCGGCCGACGCGCGCAGGGCCGUCGGCGCCGCGGAGGGCUACUACAGCAACUGCGUCACGACCCAGGUAGUCGCGCCGCCUCCGACGAUCCGUGAGGUGGCAGAAGGGGACAUCAAAGACGUGGUUAAGAUGAUCAGGACCGGCAAGGAGCGGAUACCGGCCACCUUCGCCGGAGAAGAAGGAGAAGAAGGCAUGCCACUGCCAUGCGUGGAGGACACGCUGUUCGGGUACAGCGCGCUGUUCGUGACGAGCUGGCGGAACCUGGGCUUCGAGGCGACGGACUUUGGCGGCGGGACGCCGGCGCGGGUUAUGUGCUACGUGGGGCCGGAGUCGCUGCCGGCCUGCGUGGCGUGCCUGCCGUGCAGGGACAAGGGCGGGGCCAACGUCCUCUCCCGCUUUCUCAAGGAGGAGCACGGCGGCGCCUUCCUUGCCGAGCUGGCCAAGUUCACGUGA